UAGGGAAUCUUCGGCAAUGGGGGCAACCCUGACCGAGCAACGCCGCGUGAGUGAAGAAGGUUUUCGGAUCGUAAAGCUCUGUUGUAAGAGAAGAACGUGUGUGAGAGUGGAAAGUUCACACAGUGACGGUAACUUACCAGAAAGGGACGGCUAACUACGUGCCAGCAGCCGUGGUAAUACGUAGGUCCCGAGCGUUGUCCGGAUUUAUUGGGCGUAAAGCGAGCGCAGGCGGUUUAAUAAGUCUGAAGUUAAAGGCAGUGGCUUAACCAUUGUUCGCUUUGGAAACUGUAAAACUUGAGUGCAGAAGGGGAGAGUGGAAUUCCAUGUGUAGCGGUGAAAUGCGUAGAUAUAUGGAGGAACACCGGUGGCGAAAGCGGCUCUCUGGUCUGUAACUGACGCUGAGGCUCGAAAGCGUGGGGAGCAAACAGG
This 429-nucleotide ribosomal RNA is filed under the name bacterium. RNAcentral describes it as "partial 16S ribosomal RNA". It matches the Rfam family "Bacterial small subunit ribosomal RNA", at positions 355 to 776 of the family's 1533-position model. The record is from RNAcentral.